This 402-nucleotide ribosomal RNA is filed under the name Cerithium sp. RNAcentral's name for it is "partial small subunit ribosomal RNA". It matches the Rfam family "Eukaryotic small subunit ribosomal RNA", at positions 582 to 975 of the family's 1831-position model. The record is from RNAcentral. Lineage: Eukaryota; Metazoa; Mollusca; Gastropoda; Cerithiidae.
AUUCCAGCUCCAAUAGCGUAUACUAAAGUUGUUGCGAUUAAAAAGCUCGUAGUUGGAUCUCUGGUAUGGGCGCACGGUCCGCCUCGCGGCGGUCACUGUGUGAUUGGUUUCCCAUCCUACGCUUCCCGGUUGUUCAGCCCAUGGUGCUCUUGACUGAGCGUUUUGGGUGGCCGGAACGUUUACUUUGAAGAAAUUAGAGUGCUCAAAGCAGGCGCGUCGCCUGAAUAAGGUUGCAUGGAAUAAUGGAAUAGGACCUCGGUUCUAUUUUGCUGGUUUUCGGAACGUGAGGUAAUGAUUAAGAGGGACAGACGGGGGCAUCCGUAUUGCGGUGUUAGAGGUGAAAUUCUUGGAUCAUCGCAAGACGAACAACUGCGAAAGCAUUUGCCAAGCAUGUUUUCAUUA